RNAcentral lists this long non-coding RNA (910 nucleotides) under Anas platyrhynchos platyrhynchos (common mallard). RNAcentral describes it as "lncRNA (ENSAPLG00000029734.1)". Lineage: Eukaryota; Metazoa; Chordata; Aves; Anseriformes; Anatidae. The record is from RNAcentral.
UACACCUCAAAUUUUGCCAUCAUUUUACACUGCAUUGAUUCCAAUGAGUAUUGGACUGAAUUCAGUGUGUGAAUAAGACAAGAAAUGCUAUUCUUCUUAGAAAAUGAACACCUCUGAUAUAUGCUACUCAGUUUAAGGAUGGCUGGGGAGAAGCGUAUUUUGAACACCAUUAACAAAAAAAAGUUCUUUGUUUUUGGUUAUCUUUGAAGAGGUACAACCUUUUUUUUUUUUUUUUUUUUUUUUUUUUUUUUUUGAGUUUUUUUUUUGUUUUCCAAACACCAUUUUCUUUAACACACUAGUAAUUACUCUUGGAUAUUAUGUGUAUCCAUCUUUUAAUAAGAGUUGCUUUUGAAAUCAGCUCCUCCUUAGACCUAGUCUAGGAAUAAAACCAUAAUGCCAAGUUUAUGAUAUCUUAGUGUGUUGCUAUGGAAGUGAUAUUAGCAAUAUUAGAAAUCCAGCGUUGUGGGCUGUGCAACAGUGGAAUGUGAUAGAAACUGAAAGCAUUGAUGUGACAGAAGAAGCAGCUUUCAUUUCAACAGAAAUAUUUUGAUUCUUUGGAAAACCAUUGGAGAAAAUGAAGACAGUGUAUCGGAGUUAAAGGUCAAAUUGCUUCUAAGAGAGAAACAAAGCAAGCAGGGCUACGCUGUUCACUUCCAUCAGGAAUACUUCUGGAAGACUGGCAAAUGGGAAGUGGAGAUGACCACACUGUCAGCUCUGCUGUAAGAGUUACCAGGUAACACUGUGAAUUGUGUAGUGCAUGUCUGUGGAUAAUUCCUACUUCCAGAUCACAGUAUACAGCUACUGGUAGUUAUGCUUUGGAGUGCUGCAGACGCUUUGACUUUAUACAAAUCACACAGAGUAUAUCACUUAAGGGUUUAGUAUUUGCACUUGAAUGCAAAACAACCUGCAU